Molecule: ribosomal RNA, 718 nt
Filed under: uncultured Bacteroidota bacterium
Lineage: Bacteria; Pseudomonadati; Bacteroidota
Description: bacterial SSU rRNA
Rfam family: Bacterial small subunit ribosomal RNA
Source: RNAcentral
CGAGAACGCCCGGGCCUAGCCGGGGCAAGUACAGUGGCGGACGGGUGCGUAACGCGUAGAUAACCUGCCCUCAGGCGCGGGACAAUCGCGGGAAACCGCGGCUAAUACCGCACGACGUCCGGACCCCGCAUGGGAGCCGGAUGAAACCUUGGGUUCGCCCAGGGGCCUUUGGAUGGGUCUGCGUCGGAUUAGCUUGUUGGUGAGGUAACGGCUCACCAAGGUAGCGAUCCGUAGCUGGUCUGAGAGGACGAUCAGUCACACUGGGACUGAGACACGGCCCAGACUCCUACGGGAGGCAGCAGUGGGGAAUCUUGCACAAUGGGGUCACCCCUGAUGCAGCCAUGCCGCGUGGAGGAAGACACCCCUAUGGGGCGUAAACUCCUUUUCUGAGAGAAGAAGCCCCUGUAGGUUCAGGGCGUGACGGUAUCUCAGGAAUAAGCACCGGCUAACUCCGUGCCAGCAGCCGCGGUAAUACGGAGGGUGCAAGCGUUGUCCGGAAUCACUGGGCGUAAAGGGUGCGCAGGCGGGGCAGCAAGUCGGAGGUGAAAGCCCGUGGCUCAACCACGGAAGUGCCUUCGAAACUGUUGCUCUUGAGUCCCGGAGAGGUUGCCGGAAUUCGUGGUGUAGCGGUGAAAUGCGUAGAUAUCACGAGGAACACCAGAGGCGAAAGCGGGCAACUGGACGGGUACUGACGCUCAGGCACGAAAGCGCGGGGAGC